Long non-coding RNA from Cyprinus carpio carpio, 1915 nucleotides. NCBI's taxonomy places the organism in Eukaryota, Metazoa, Chordata, Actinopteri, Cypriniformes, Cyprinidae. The record is from Ensembl.
CGGGGAAGUAAAUCCGUCUCACGUGUAACCCAAGUGACCUCAGGUCUAUGCGUGCUCUCUGGCUGUAAGUCAUUGUGAAGCUCUGAAACAUCACUGAGGGCUUUUCACAAUUAUAAUAUAACAUUUAUAGCGAAAAGUGACUAGUGGCAUAUUUAAAUGGCCGAGAUCCAGGAGCUCUCUCCAGACUCUGGCAGUGGGGAGACACGACCCCCCGAAGACGAGAUCGAGGGUGAUGAUGAGGACGAAGAGGUACUUGAUUGCUUCUACAGUUUUGCUUGACUUUAUGAAAUUGUCAAGAUAUAGGAAAUUUUGGAUGAAACCCUGUUGGAGAGGUUGUGGGGUCUCACGGAGAUGUUUCCAGAAUCUUUGCGAUCAGCAGCUGAAGUAUCCGCACAGAGUUCGCUGUCUGUAGCCAAAAAACUUUACAGUUUCUCCCGCUCAGCUCUAUGGGUCGGUACUACUUCCUUCAUGAUUCUGGUUCUGCCAGUUGUAUUUGAGACUGAGAGGUUACAGCUGGAACAGCAACAACUACAACAGCAGAGACAGAAAUCUCCACCAAUCAGAGAAUCAUGAAAAGCAAAUGCCAAAAGAGCUGUACACUGGCAUAAAACACUGCUAAUGACGUAACAGGGUCAGUCUCCCUAUGCAACAACAUUCAGUAUUUUUCCAUUGUUUUAAUUCGGAUGUAUGUUAUUUGCAAUGCUUCAUAGGAUUUGUAGUUCUUUCGUACGCAGUCUUUUUGUCUUAUUUUCAAAUGCUUUUUUGCUUCAAAUCAAAGUUUGUGAUGUUAUUUACCUUACUGAAAAGCAUGCAUAUUAUGUGACUUUUUCAUUGAAAUAUGAAUUCAUUUCUUAUUUCCUUUUCCUUUCCUGCUUUUAAUAGAUUUUGUUGGGUCCAAAUGCUGGCAUGUCUGGAGGAAUGCCUGGAAUGAUGCCUCCUGCUCCUGGGAAGCUGUGAUGUAUAUAUUGUAACAUCCGUGAGUUGUAGAAGAAGAAGGAGAAAGAGAGAGGGAGCAAGAACUGGAGAAAGAAAGAAGUCGUUACUUUGUAUAGUUUCUGUGUACACUGGAGACCUUGAUAACUUUUAUGAACUUCCCUCUCUCUCUGCCUUUCUCACAGAAACAUCCUGCACAUGUCGUCCAAGCUCUGAUAUUUUACUUUUUUUUUUUUAUUAUAGCUAUCUAAUAACAUUUCUUUCAGAAAGAGUCUAUAACAGCUGUUGGGGAAAACUUUGACUGUGUUGUAGGUGCAUUAUAUUUCUAAGAGAGUGUUUACGGUGCAGUGUGGGCCAUAGUAACACCGGAUCAACACUGACGUGCAGAGAAUCUAUAACAGCAUUCAGCGUUUAUGAGGGCACGCAAGGCCAAUAUUGAUUGUGAAAUUUUCUUGGUCUACAGAUUAUGGUUUUUCUUGUUUUUUUUUUUUUUUUUUUUUUGUUCCUGUUCCAUAAAUGUUAAAACCUUUAGAAGUGGUUCUCUGCCAACAGUGUCUUUUAAGGUGAUGGUACACUGGUUAACUUUUUUGAGCAAUGUUGCUUGGGCCACUUUCCCAUUAAGAAUGGGCAGCAGAUUUCUUGAUACUUUAGAUCGUUUAUGUGCCCUGUGUCUCAGCUGGUUGCCCAUUAACAGCAACAUUGCUCAAAAAGUUGCCCAGUGUAUCAUCACCCUAAACUAAUACCAUGCAAAGCUACUGCAAUGUUAUUCCUCAGACAAAAGCCAUACAGUGUGCAGAACCGUUGUGAAAUAAUUAAGAAAGAAUGUUUGAAAACAGUGUACUUCAGUGAAUAAUAAUGUUUGCUCCACAUGACAGGAAUAAAAACAAGUUCUCCAAUGUCCUUGUCUUUUGUCUAUACUCUUUAUUACAUAAUAUACUUUUUUUCUGAUACUUGAGUAGAACCAGACUGGUGAAGUGCACCU